This 320-nucleotide ribosomal RNA is filed under the name uncultured Prevotella sp. RNAcentral's name for it is "bacterial SSU rRNA". It matches the Rfam family "Bacterial small subunit ribosomal RNA", at positions 28 to 339 of the family's 1533-position model. Lineage: Bacteria; Pseudomonadati; Bacteroidota; Bacteroidia; Bacteroidales; Prevotellaceae. The record is from RNAcentral.
GAUGAACGCUAGCUACAGGCUUAACACAUGCAAGUCGAGGGGCAUCAUGGAGGCAGCUUGCUGUCUCUGAUGGCGACCGGCGAAUGGGUGAGUAACGCGUAUCCAACCUUCCCCUUAGUAGGGCAUAGCCCGGUGAAAAUCGGAUUAAUACCCUAUAUUCUUCACAGCGGACAUCUAACGUGAAGCAAAGAUUCAUCGCUAAGGGAUGGGGAUGCGUCUGAUUAGGUAGUCGGCGGGGUAACGGCCCACCGAGCCAUUGAUCAGUAGGGGUUCUGAGAGGAAGGUCCCCCACAUUGGAACUGAGACACGGUCCAAACUCC